AUGAUUUUACCUCCUGUUUAUUUGGAUAAAGAAGCCAUGUUCAAUCAUCAAUUUCUUGUCAGGAAUGAACAAUUCCUCCAUUAUCGACUAAUCUAUGACAGACGCAACGUCGUCCCUGUUACUCUUCCUACUCCCUACCUUUUUGAUUAUCAGGCAAAAGGAAGAUAUGUUGUCACCAGGGAGGAAGCAGCUGAACACGAGAGGGGAGCGGAGGCAGCUCGCCAACACGCUGCAACUCAGGAGGCGGUUGCCGCUGCAUCUCUAUACGACCCCAGUUUCACUUACGGAUAUCAGCCAGGCGGUCCUUGGUACUAG
This 315-nucleotide ribosomal RNA is filed under the name Triticum aestivum (bread wheat). Its description in RNAcentral is "partial small subunit ribosomal RNA". The record is from RNAcentral. Lineage: Eukaryota; Viridiplantae; Streptophyta; Magnoliopsida; Poales; Poaceae.